RNAcentral lists this ribosomal RNA (253 nucleotides) under uncultured bacterium. RNAcentral describes it as "partial 16S ribosomal RNA". It matches the Rfam family "Bacterial small subunit ribosomal RNA", at positions 524 to 776 of the family's 1533-position model. The record is from RNAcentral.
UACGUAGGGUGCGAGCGUUAAUCGGAAUUACUGGGCGUAAAGCGUGCGCAGGCGGUUCGCUGUGUCCUGUGUGAAAGCCCCGGACUUAACCUGGGAAUGGCAUGGGAAACUGGCGGGCUGGAGUGUGGCAGAGGGGGGUGGAAUUCCGCGUGUAGCAGUGAAAUGCGUAGAGAUGCGGAGGAACACCGAUGGCGAAGGCAGCCCCCUGGGCUAACACUGACGCUCAGGCACGAAAGCGUGGGGAGCAAACAGG